Molecule: long non-coding RNA, 309 nt
Filed under: Jatropha curcas
Lineage: Eukaryota; Viridiplantae; Streptophyta; Magnoliopsida; Malpighiales; Euphorbiaceae
Description: long non-coding RNA (JCUR_LNC001526)
Source: RNAcentral
UAUUAUUACAUGAAUGGAAUGGUUUAAAAGUCUUACAGCUGAUAUAGACAUGGUUAUUACCCCGAAUAUCACUUCAUUUGUUGAAGUUGAUAUUACGAUCGAUUGAACAUGGAUAUCAUCACUAGAUGAUAUAUGAUUGAUAUGAAAUUCUCCCUCCAUGUUGAGGUUGUAGAUUGCUCCCUCUUCUGUUGAAAUCAUAUCACAGAUUGAGGUUGUAGAUAGCAGGUCUAGAUGUGCACAUUAGACACUGAUGGCCCUCGGAAUUGAUUCUAUAAAAGCUGUAAAGACUACAUUAUGAAUUUAUGAUUU